GGCUCGGCACAGCUCGGCUCAGCAUCACACGGAUUAGCACGGCGCGGCGUGGCCUUGCGUGGCUUGGCAAGGCAUGGCGCAGCUCUGCUGGCACGGCAUGGCUGGCACAGCUCGGCGUGGCUCGGCUUGGUUCGCAGGGCAUGGCGUGGCGCUGCUGGCACAGCUCAGAACGGCAUGGUGUGGCUCAGCUGGUGGGGUUUAUCACGGCACGGCAUGGCUUGGCUGGUGUGGUUCGUCAUGCCAUGGCAUGGCUCAGCCAGCACACUAUGGCAUGGCAUGGCUUGGCUGGCACGGUUUGGUGUGGCACGGCGCAGCUUGGCUAACACAACGUGGCUCAGCUUCGCACAGCCCAGCACAGCUUGCCAUGGCACGGCGUGGCACAGCACAGCUUGGCACCCCGUCCCUGCAGGAUGACCCUGCUGGCUCCCUGCCUGGGUGCAUGCCCAGCACACGGUGAAGCUGCUGCCAGGUCAGCGGUGUCGCCCGAACCUGGAGUGCCAACACAGUUUGCGUGUGUACAUAUUUAUUUUGCACACAGUGUAAUCACCAGCGUUUAAAUUCCUUUUAUCAGCAGCAGCACUUGGCUGUGGCAGGGUGUUUUCUGCUGUUGCAGGAAUGGGCACGAGGGCACCGAGUGCUGCAUGCUGUCACCAGCCCUUGGGGUGCACCUGCGGAGGGGAACCGGCCCCACAGAAAGUGCCAUUUCCUUGCGUUGCAACCCACAACACUCGUUUCUCUCAGUGGUUUUCCACUCUGUUUGGUUUACACUCUUAAAAAUUUCACCAGGAACAGUGCAGCGUCCCAUGGGCUCCACCUGAGAGAGUGGGAGCUGGGGGUACCAAGUUCAUAGGGCAAGGGGGUGAUGCUGGAGCACAGAAUCACCUCUUGGUUUGGGGUCCCCGCUGCAGGAGGGAGACAGAGACGUGCAAUGAAACACACCACCCCCUGGCAGAUGCUUUAUGUUCCAGCAGUGCUGCCAUUAUUGAGCCCAUAGGGCCACCCCUCACAGAGCCUGUGUGCUCUGGGUUCUGGGAAGUGGCUCUGCUGGGUUCACCAGCACCAACACGGCCAUGGCACGGCCCAGCGUCGCUUCUCCCCUGCUACUGAUCACUGACUGCCAGACUGUCAGUGUCCCCUCUUUGGGGGCUUUUCUUCUUUCCCCCCCCAAAGCUGACCUCAAGAUUGAUUCAAUCCGGACAGCGCUGAUGCAGGAGGAGAGGCCUCUGUUCAAAGGAGCCAUUCAAGUCCGAAGGAAAGAGGAAAAAAAAAGUCUUUCCUCAAGCUAAUUCAAGUUGCGUGCCAACAACAACGCAGCGUUAACAAAACAAAAUGAUGCUCCUAUACCAAAUAAAAUUAUGCUCCUAUACCAGUAAGAGAGCAAAACGUAGACCAUGGCCAACGCGUUGUGUAGGCCCUAGUGCUUUUGCACUCCAUUUUUAUUGGGUUUGGUUUCUAUACCAGUGGGAGCACAAAACGUUGUCCAUGGUCAACGCAUUGCGUAGCCCUCAGUGCUCUUAUUCUCUGCUUUUGGUCUUUUGGGUUUUCUCCUGUACCAGUAAGAGCACAAAGCAUAGUCCAUGGCCAACGCAUUGCAUAGCCCUUGGUGCUCUUCUCUAUUUUUGGUCAUUUGAGUUUUGCCCCUGUGCCAGUAAGAGCACAAAAUGUACUCCACGACCAAUGCAAUUGCAUGGCCCUUGGUGCCUUCACUCCCUAUUUUUGCUCUUUUGGGUUUUCUCCUGUACCAGUAAGAGCACAAAACAUUGUCCAUGCCCAAUGCGCUGUGUAGCCCUUGGUGCUCUUCUUCUGUUUUCCCUCUUUUGGGUUUGCUCCUGUACCUCUAAGAGCACAAAAUGUGCUCCAUGACCAACACAACUGCGUGGCCCUCGGUGCUCUUGUUCCCUAUUUUCAGUCUUCUGGGUUUGCCAGGUCCCACCGUGGCCCCAUGGCCGCUCCCUGGCUCUGCUCCGCGCCGAUCGCAGCAGAACAAGUGCAUAAAAAUGAUCUUAUUUAUUACAGGAGACAUGUUUUAAAACAACUGACAAAAUCGCAAGAUGUAAAACGACAAGCGAGCGCUUUUUCUUUUUUAAACCCGUAUAGACUUCUGGCAAUGAUAAAAAUAGUGUUUUCCUUUUUAAAGUUGGAAUUAAUCUUUCUUUCGAAAGCAAUCAUGGAGCGGGAGAGGCAGGAAGGCACUCAGAUAUUAACUGGCACUCGCUGGGUGAUGGUUACUUAUGGAGGAGCCGGUGGCCGCUUUCCUCUGCAGAGCGAUCGGCAUUAAAGAACGGCGCGAACAUUAAAGGGAAGAGAGCCAUGCAAGUUAGGGCAGCGCGGGUUGAGCCGGCCUCCUCUUGCCACCUCGUGCCUCAGUUUCCCCAUCUGUGACGUGGGGACUGGGCAGAGCCCCCCAGCAUUCGGCAUCACGGCCCUUUGGGGGUGCUGCCCCCCCCAAGUGCCAUGGAGCCGUCUCGGUGGGCACGUCCAGCACUUAGCAUCGCUCAUACCUCUGUUUCCUUUAGUUCUUUGCCAGUGUUAGUUAAUUAAACUAUGCAAAUUAAAACAACUUAAUUUAUAUAAUAUCAGUGCCGGAGCCUCAAACCAUUUGGUGUAGCUCAUCUGGCACGUACGUUACAUAAAAUGUUUGGAGCGGCUCUAAUAAAAAUGAAAAAGGCUGUAAA
Molecule: long non-coding RNA, 2675 nt
Organism: Numida meleagris (helmeted guineafowl)
Lineage: Eukaryota; Metazoa; Chordata; Aves; Galliformes; Numididae
Exons: 2
Source: RefSeq, a predicted model, not a curated record